UACGUAGGCAGCGAGCGUUGUUCGGAGUUACUGGGCGUAAAGGGUGUGUAGGCGGUUGUUUAAGUUUGGUGCGAAAUCUCCCGGCUCAACUGGGAGGGUGCGCCGAAUACUGAAUGACUUGGAGUGCGGGAGAGGUGAGUGGAAUUCCUGGUGUAGCGGUGAAAUGCGUAGAGAUCGGGAGGAACACCAGAGGCGAAGGCGGCGACCUGGACAAGUACUGACACUCAACUACGAAAGCGUGGGGAGCAAACAGG
RNAcentral lists this ribosomal RNA (254 nucleotides) under uncultured bacterium. RNAcentral describes it as "partial 16S ribosomal RNA". It matches the Rfam family "Bacterial small subunit ribosomal RNA", at positions 524 to 776 of the family's 1533-position model. The record is from RNAcentral.